AUUUAAAUUAUUAUUUAUUAUUUUAGGUUUAUUUUAUUUUAUUUAAAAUAUUAUAGUUUUUAUUAUAUUUAUAGAAAAAAUAUUUAUUUAUUAUAGUUAAUUAGUAUUGUGAAAGAAUUAAUUUAAAUAUUAAAAAGAAAAAUUAAUUUUUUGUACCUUGUGUAUCAGGGUUGAUUAAAUAUAAAUUUUAUAUAAAAUAUUCUCGAAUUUAAAAGAGCUAAUUUAUUAUAGUUUUUAUUGUAGAAUAAAUAUUAUUAAUAAUAAAUUAGAAAUGAAACGUUAUUCGUUUUUAAAUAUAUCUAGUUUUUUAAGAAAAAAAUUAAAUUUGUUAAUUAUUAAUUAUUAAUUUUUUUAUUUAAGUUAAUAUUAUUAAUUAGUUAUAUUUUAAGGGAUAAGCUUUAAAAUAAAAUUUUAUAAAUUUUUUUUAAAAUAAUUAAAUGUAGGAUUAUAAUUUUCUAUCAUUAAAAAAAUGUUAUAGUUUAUUAUGUCAAAAAAUAUUAUUUUUAUUUAUUUUAAUUUUUAUAUUAAAAAGUAUAUUUCAAUUUUAAAAAUUUAGUAAUAAUGAUUAAAUUAGUAUAAUUUUAUGUAUUUUUAUAUAAAAUAUUAAAGGUUUUUAAAAGGAAUUCGGCAAAUAUUUUUUUCACCUGUUUAUUAAAAACAUGUCCUUUUGAUAAUGAUUUAAGGUCUAGCCUGCCCAAUGAUUAAAUUAAAUGGCCGCGGUAUUAUGACCGUGCAAAGGUAGCAUAAUAAUUAGUUUUUUAAUUGAAAGCUGGUAUGAAGGGUUGAAUGAGAAAAAAACUGUCUCUUAAAAAUUUUAUUAGAAUUUUAUUUUUAAGUCAAAAAGCUUAAAUUAAAUUUAAAGACGAGAAGACCCUUUAGAGUUUUAUAUUUUAUUAAAAUUUUAAUUAUUUAGAAUUAAUUUAAUAAAAAGUUAAUAGAUUAUUUGAUUGGGGUGAUUAAAAAAUUUAAAUAACUUUUUUUUUAUGAAAACAUUAAUUUAUGAGUAUUUGAUCCAAUAUUAUUGAUUAUAAGAAUAAAUUACCUAAGGGAUAACAGCGUUAUUUUCUUUGAGAGUUCUUAUCGAAAGGAAAGAUUGCGACCUCGAUGUUGGAUUAAAAUUAAACUAUGGCGUAGAAGUUAUAGCUUUAGGUCUGUUCGACCUUUAAAAUUUUACAUGAUCUGAGUUUAAACCGGCGUGAGCCAGGUUGGUUUCUAUCUUAAAUUAAUGAUAAUAUUUUAGUACGAAAGGACCAAAUAUUGAAUUAAUAAUUUUUAUUUGAAUAUUAUU
Molecule: ribosomal RNA, 1288 nt
Filed under: Nitidulidae sp. 1 ACP-2013
Lineage: Eukaryota; Metazoa; Arthropoda; Insecta; Coleoptera; Nitidulidae
Description: 16S ribosomal RNA
Rfam family: Archaeal large subunit ribosomal RNA (bases 1049-1207)
Source: RNAcentral